Molecule: long non-coding RNA, 1326 nt
Organism: Cydia fagiglandana
Lineage: Eukaryota; Metazoa; Arthropoda; Insecta; Lepidoptera; Tortricidae
Exons: 2
Source: RefSeq, a predicted model, not a curated record
CGCUCGAAAGACGCUAGAUGUGGGGGGGGCCUUAGAGUUGCGUACUUGACGAAAAUUAUGUUCUUAAUACAGGAUGGGCAAAAAAUAAGUGCAGUGCAAAAAAAAUUGGCUGCUUCAUAUAUUUUGGCUGAUCCAUUUUCUAUGGAAGGGUAAACAUUUUUCGCGAAUUCGGAGUUGGUCCCAUAGUAAAAGUUGCUCAGUAUAAUCCCAAAACCUCUCUCGCAACGGGAAUGCACUUAUGUUUUGGCCACCGUGUAGGUACAUAUUUUUUAAAGCACAGUUCUGUUGUUGUUUUGAGUCUACGCAUGAGUAUGAGCUAAGUGAUAGCAAGAUAAAUGCUGGCCAAUGGAGCUGGCGUUUUCUCCUCAAGUACCAAAAGGCGCAGCUGCGAAUUCCUCAGAACUUUCACGGACUUUCAUUUAAUAUAGUCCUACUACUGAAAAUUGCCUUACUGAAAUUUCCAUUUAGUUUCUUUCCCUUGUAUGUUGCCUUAAAUAGUAGAUUACCGAACAACGAACCUCCACCGUCUAACACUGAUAAUAUUUGAGGUUACUCUGCCUAAUAUGUAUUGUAUUAUUAUUUAUAGUAGUGUUACUUUGUUUUAUAUGUUUUAAGAGUAUUCUAACUCUUUCUAGUUUACCAUCUGAUGCUUCCUGACUUUUGACUAAUCUCUAAGAAUAUCUAGGUAUUGCUUUCAGUAUGUUCUAUUACUUCUAUUGGCUUGUUUGUGAAAUAAUUUUCGGUAUGUUAUUAUUUUUGUAUUAGAUGUUGUCAUUGGUGCUUUUAUUACAAAAAAAAUCUAAAACUACAUUCCACACUAGGUAGCUUGUCUUGUCAUAUGGAAAUGCUAAAAUAUAAGGAAUAAAUAUUGUUCAUGUUGACUUAUUAUUCUGUGAACCUGUAUGUAUUUGUAUUUCUUUCAUGUUGCUUGCAUUUACUUCACAUACAGUUAGCCUCAGUUAUAUGAUGUAUAAUUUAACCGAAGGCAUUCCAUUUCAAAUAUCUAGUGUCUGUCCUCGCCCUGUUAUUUCCACUUACCUAAUUUUAAUCAGUAUUUUUAUAGAUGUUAAGACUGACACAAGAUUUAAGUAUGUAUUGUAUUGAAAUCACUAAGUAUUAAUUUAAAUUGUUAUUUACAUUAUUUAAAAUGUGGUGGUUUUUACACUGUUAAUUAACUAAUUUAUUAUUAUGAUUGAAUUCCCGAAUUCAAUAUGUCACGUAAUUUAGAAAAAAAAAAGUUUUCCAGAUAUUAACCCACAGACAUUAUGUAUGGUAACCAAAAUUUUUAUAUUUAACGCAAUGUAAAAAUAAAGUUUUUGUUAAACU